RNAcentral lists this transfer RNA (68 nucleotides) under Marmota monax (woodchuck). RNAcentral's name for it is "tRNA.Asp". Lineage: Eukaryota; Metazoa; Chordata; Mammalia; Rodentia; Sciuridae. The record is from RNAcentral.
GUUGUGACUCAGUGGUACAGCGCUUGCCUAUCAUGUAUGAGGCUCGGGGUUCGAUUCCUGACACCACA